This 429-nucleotide ribosomal RNA is filed under the name Pseudomonadota bacterium. RNAcentral's name for it is "Proteobacteria bacterium partial 16S ribosomal RNA". It matches the Rfam family "Bacterial small subunit ribosomal RNA", at positions 355 to 776 of the family's 1533-position model. The record is from RNAcentral. Lineage: Bacteria; Pseudomonadati; Pseudomonadota.
UGGGGAAUAUUGGACAAUGGGCGAAAGCCUGAUCCAGCCAUGCCGCGUGUGUGAAGAAGGUCUUCGGAUUGUAAAGCACUUUAAGUUGGGAGGAAGGGCAGUAAGCGAAUACCUUGCUGUUUUGACGUUACCGACAGAAUAAGCACCGGCUAACUCUGUGCCAGCAGCCGCGGUAAUACAGAGGGUGCAAGCGUUAAUCGGAAUUACUGGGCGUAAAGCGCGCGUAGGUGGUUCGUUAAGUUGAAUGUGAAAGCCCCGGGCUCAACCUGGGAACUGCAUCCAAAACUGGCGAGCUAGAGUAGGGCAGAGGGUGGUGGAAUUUCCUGUGUAGCGGUGAAAUGCGUAGAUAUAGGAAGGAAGACCAGUGGCGAAGGCGACCACCUGGGCUCAUACUGACACUGAGGUGCGAAAGCGUGGGGAGCAAACAGG